This 106-nucleotide small nuclear RNA is filed under the name Mus caroli (Ryukyu mouse). Its description in RNAcentral is "snRNA (MGP_CAROLIEiJ_G0035358.1)". Lineage: Eukaryota; Metazoa; Chordata; Mammalia; Rodentia; Muridae. The record is from RNAcentral.
AUUCCUUUGGUGGCACAUAUUUAUUAACCUGGUAUAAUAAAGAGAUCAUCAGCAUGUCCUCUCCCUAGGAAUGGCACACACAAAUUCCUACAGGACUCCAUUUUAU